UACGUAGGGGGCUAGCGUUGUCCGGAAUCAUUGGGCGUAAAGCGCGCGUAGGCGGCCCGGUAAGUCCGCUGUAAAAGUCCAGGGCUCAACCCUGGAAAGCCGGUGGAUACUGUCGGGCUCGAGUCCGGAAGAGGCGAGUGGAAUUCCUGGUGUAGCAGUGAAAUGCGUAGAUAUCGUAAGGAACGCCAGUGGCGAAAGCGAGUCUCUGGGCAGCAUCUGACACUGAGGCACGAAGGCCAGGGGAGCAAACGGG
This 253-nucleotide ribosomal RNA is filed under the name uncultured bacterium. RNAcentral describes it as "partial 16S ribosomal RNA". It matches the Rfam family "Bacterial small subunit ribosomal RNA", at positions 524 to 776 of the family's 1533-position model. The record is from RNAcentral.